UACAGAGGGGGCAAGCGUUGUUCGGAAUUACUGGGCGUAAAGGGCGCGUAGGCGGCCUUCUAAGUCGAACGUGAAAUCCCACGGCUCACCCGUGGAACUGCCUGGCAGACUGCGAUGCUCGAGUGUGGUAGGGGAGAGCGGAACUCCUGGUGGAGCGGUGAAAUGCGUAGAUAUCAGGAGGAACACCGGUGGCGAAGGCGGCUCUCUGGUCCAUGUCUGACGCUGAGGUGCGAAAGCUAGGGGAGCAAACGGG
This 253-nucleotide ribosomal RNA is filed under the name uncultured bacterium. Its description in RNAcentral is "partial 16S ribosomal RNA". It matches the Rfam family "Bacterial small subunit ribosomal RNA", at positions 524 to 776 of the family's 1533-position model. The record is from RNAcentral.